GUCAAGAUGGCCGAGUGGUCUAAGGCGCUGCAUUCAAGAUGUUGUCUUGCCUAGUUAACUAGGACAAUCUGCAGUAUCGAAAGAUUCUUGGGUUCGAAUCCCAAUCUUGACA
This is a transfer RNA of Fusarium fujikuroi IMI 58289, 112 nucleotides long. It matches the Rfam family "tRNA". From Rfam's summary of the family: Transfer RNA (tRNA) molecules are approximately 80 nucleotides in length. Their secondary structure includes four short double-helical elements and three loops (D, anti-codon, and T loops). The record is from Rfam. Lineage: Eukaryota; Fungi; Ascomycota; Sordariomycetes; Hypocreales; Nectriaceae.